UCAGACCCCGCUGAUGGCGCGAGUCCUCCUUACCCGCCUGGCUGCACCACCUCCCCAGGGGCCAACAAAGUAGCGUGCUGGGUAAAUCCCAACUGCUACCCCCAGCCUCCAGGUUUCAGGCUCACCCUAGAGUCUCCUGGGGACUGGAGGGAAAUACCCAGGUGUCUGGUGGGGGAGGGAUUUAGGAAAUAAAAUGAUUGUAGACAAAAACUGAAUAAGCACUUCGGUUACAGAGUCCCAUCUGGGUCUGCUUCGGAGGCAGGUUUGGCUCCGUCUAAUAGGGACAAGGCGGGUGUCAGUCUGAAAUGACUUGUUUGCCAGGACAGGUAAGGGGAUAGUCAGGACCUGCGGUUUACCUCACAGGGUACAGAGUUGAGGCAUGAAAUCAUGUUUUUCACGUGUGUAAGUAACUUUCACACACAAAUAUAUGUGUGCACAAAUAUAUGUAUGCGUGUAAUGCCCAAGCACAUGAACUUGUGUUCAUGUGUGCAAAUACACAUGUUCAUCUCUGUUGGCAAUAACACAGCCAGCACGAAUUUUAUCUCUGUUGGCAAAAUCACAGCCAGCACCACUGAAGAGCUAGGGUCUUACACAUGCGCAUCAGGUGUAAGUGUCUAGAGCUGGGAAGAAGGAUGCAACUGCAAAAUGGUAAAUUGCACGUUAUACCUGCACUUGCGUGCUCAGGCGAUUCUACUUAAAUCACUGCAAGUGCUCCUACGAGGUCGUUUUGCAUAAUUGAAAAAACUUGAAGUUACAAUCAUAUGUGUAUAUUCUGCAUGUGUACAGAUGCCCCAACGCGAGGGAAGGACCACUAAACCCAAAGACGCGCGUGCCCGUGUGUUCACACAGACGUGUGCUUCGGCGCCUGCACACGGCCGGCGCGCAGGCAUGCGGACGCCUACACGAAUACAUAGGCAUGUUUUAUUGACGCAUCUGGGGCACUUUCUUUCAAAGAAAGUAAGGAAUGAAAAUCCAAUCUGAGAGUCACCAGGGUUCAUCUGGAGGUCGCCCAAGGGGCAGAAAAAAUUUGUAAUGACGCUAGAGUGUUUGUCCUUGGUGCAACUCCACUCUCGGGAGGGCUGGAUACAAUACGUUUGGAAAGCUCGAGGGGCUGCCUUAGGAUCUGGGGGCGGGGGGUGGGGUACUCAGCAACUCUUGCCGCGGGCUGCUCAAGAAACGUGGAAACACACCCUGCGACUUUCCACUCCCCCAUACAUAUAGGCACGCGAUUCCGUCGCCACCUCUCGGACCAGCAGCCCACGUCCAACGCUGGGCCGACCCCAGAUACACAGGCAGUCGGGAUUCCCGCCCGGUGCGCUUGUCUAUUCAUCCCUCUGCGUCAGGCUGGGACGCGCUCCGUCUGUAAAAGGCUCAAACGCAUCUCCCGCCGCGGGGCGGGAUCUAGGGGCCCAGGCCCCGGGGUCCAGAGGCGGGUAACUUUGCUAAUCUCCCCCAGCGGCGGGGAACGUCGCGCAACCGCUGAGCCCUGUCCGCCGAGACUAAACAAGCAGAGGAACAGGCUGUAAACACACAUCCUGACACGCAGGGAUGUUGCUCUUGGAGAAUGUGAAGACAGUUUGCUUCUUGACAAGCGAGCGAACGGGCGCCCAGAUUUUUGCAGCCUUUCCGAGUCUCCCCCGAGGGAGAGGCGGCAGAGAAAACGCCGGAUUUGGGAGCCACCAGGGAAGGAUCCGCGCAGGGGAGCCGCCCUCCUUGGCCCCAGACCCGCCUGCCUGGGGCCCCCUUUGCUCACUGUCAAUGUAUGGUCUGAAGCUCUGAGGAUGGUGCUGGGGACUGGGGUCGGGGGAAGCCUCUUGAAUAAUAACUGCAAAGAAGAAAGAGGCGAGAACGUCUCCCUAACCUUGAAGCAGAAAGGACUGUGUUCUUAAAGCUGUUGGCUGCAGUCACAGGGCCAGUUGCCCGCCUCUGUUCCCUGAGUAAAGUGUAACAUCUUCUGUCCUCCUGGCUUGCUUGCACCAUUCAGCAAAUUAUACUCCUUCCUUACCAAAGUGGGAAUGCUCAGGGAAGUGUGUGUGUGUGUGUGUGUGUGUGUGUGUCCCCUCUGCACUGAGGCUGCUGUUAGAGAUGUUACCAAUUUAAACCUUCCAGAAUCCUGGAGGUUUACAUUUUGUAAAGGGAGGGGACACUCCUGGACUGUCACAAUCCCAAUUCUGGUUAGAGUGGCAGGGACUGAACAAAGCCACCAACAUGCAAAAGUCCAUCUCCAGAGUAGCAUGCAUGCCCCCAGGAAACCCCCAGUGGGAUAUGCUUCCUGCACUUUCCCCUUCUCUCUAACCUCUGUCUCCUGUUUGUAAGGCAGAGGAAGGGUGAUUCCUUGCCACUGCACAGGAAUGCAGGGUUAGGGUUAUCUCCAAGAAAGGGUGGGGUGAGGCUGAGUCACAGGGAGAGCAGAAAAGCUCUGUAUCUUCAAUGAGGACCCACACACACACACCUUUCCCAGGCUUGUGGGCCUCAUUCAGCAAAGCAGGGAGUGUUUUAUAUUGAUGCGAGAGGCUGUCAGUCAGCAGUAAAUCAGUUCAGGCAUAGCUAUCUCUUUCUUUACGAAAUCAGCUCAUUGCCUUGGUCACACUACACAGAAAAUCUGCUUAUCACCGCUAUCGACAAUAAAAAUUAGUGGAGCCUUAGUUGUUUCCGAAGAGGAACCCCGUGUCUGUGACAUUAGAAUAGAUAAGUGGCUUGGCCUGUUGCAGGCAGAGAGAAGCCCAAUUCCUCCUCCUCUUCUCCCUGCAGCGAUCUGAACAAUUCUGAAACCGCCUCCCUGGGCGUCAGCUGAGCAGGUUGGGGAACUAACCAGGGCUCUCUCUCUAGGGCCCUGUUAAAUGCACUGAACUUAAAAUGAAACACGAAGUGUGAAUUUCAGGUUUGAACAUGAUGCAUCAGGAAACGUGGAGGUUGGCAGCCCUUUUCCUCCCUCCUGCUUUUCAGUAGCAGGUAUUAAUAUUGUAUUAAAUGUUAUGAGAAAGUAAAGGCUGCGGAGAGGAAUGUGCUCAGAUGCAAUUUUGUCAAGGUUUUUAUCUGUGAUUAUGAUUCCAGAUGUAGAAACUCCCGGAGGAGGGAAAUGAGGGGCUGCUGGCAUGUGACAUGUGUUUUAAGGUGUUUGGCAGUGUUUCUCAAAGUGGUGACAAAAUGUUCAAUUUUAUUACAGGGAAUUGGUAAAAGAAAUAUGAAUACUAGGUCAGAGAUUGUUCACCUCAGCAAAAGGAUUUACCAUUAUUGAUUAGGGUGCAGAAAGUAUGUAUCUAGGUCCUGCUUAAAUCACAUUGUCAACAAUAUAAAUCUGUCAGAUCAGAUUUUUCUGAAAGAACAAUUAUAACAAAAUACACUAUAGCUAAUUGC
RNAcentral lists this long non-coding RNA (3357 nucleotides) under Homo sapiens (human). Its description in RNAcentral is "HSALNT0155160". Lineage: Eukaryota; Metazoa; Chordata; Mammalia; Primates; Hominidae. The record is from RNAcentral.